RNAcentral lists this ribosomal RNA (460 nucleotides) under uncultured bacterium. RNAcentral's name for it is "partial 16S ribosomal RNA". It matches the Rfam family "Bacterial small subunit ribosomal RNA", at positions 338 to 795 of the family's 1533-position model. The record is from RNAcentral.
CCUACGGGUGGCAGCAGUGAGGAAUAUUGGUCAAUGGACGGAAGACUGAACCAGCCAUGCCGCGUGCAGGAAGACGGCUCAGUGAGUUGUAAACUGCUUUUGUACAAGGAUAAACAUGAAGACGUGUAUUCAGAUGAAAGUACUGUACGAAUAAGGAUCGGCUAACUCCGUGCCAGCAGCCGCGGUAAUACGGAGGAUGCAAGCGUUAUCCGGAUUUAUUGGGUUUAAAGGGUGCGUAGGCGGAUUGAUAAGUUAGAGGUGAAAUGUCCGAGCUUAACUCGGGAACGGCCUCUAAUACUGUUGAUCUAGAGAUUAGAUGCGGUAGGCGGAAUGUAUGGUGUAGCGGUGAAAUGCUUAGAGAUCAUACAGAACACCGAUUGCGAAGGCAGCUUACCAACCUAUAUCUGACGUUGAGGCACGAAAGCGUGGGGAGCAAACAGGAUUAGAUACCCCUGUAGUC